AUUGAACGCUGGCGGCAGGCUUAACACAUGCAAGUCGAGCGGGGUGAUGGUGCUUGCACUAUCACUUAGCGGCGGACGGGUGAGUAAUGCUUAGGAAUCUGCCUAUUAGUGGGGGACAACAUCUCGAAAGGGAUGCUAAUACCGCAUACGUCCUACGGGAGAAAGCAGGGGAUCACUUGUGACCUUGCGCUAAUAGAUGAGCCUAAGUCGGAGUAGCUAGUUGGUGGGGUAAAGGCCUACCAAGGCGACGAUCUGUAGCGGGUUUGAGAGGAUGAGCAGCCACACUGAGACUGAGACACGGACCAGACUCCUACGGGAGGCAGGAGUGGGGAAUAUUGGACAAUGGGGGGAACCCUGAUCCAGCCAUGCCGCGUGUGUGAAGAAGGCCUUAUGGUUGUAAAGCACUUUAAGCGAGGAGGAGGCUCUUUUGGUUAAUACCCAAGAUGAGUGGACGUUACUCGCAGAAUAAGCACCGGCUAACUCUGUGCCAGCAGCCGCCGUAA
Molecule: ribosomal RNA, 503 nt
Filed under: uncultured bacterium
Lineage: Bacteria
Description: partial 16S ribosomal RNA
Rfam family: Bacterial small subunit ribosomal RNA
Source: RNAcentral